This 497-nucleotide ribosomal RNA is filed under the name uncultured bacterium. RNAcentral describes it as "partial 16S ribosomal RNA". It matches the Rfam family "Bacterial small subunit ribosomal RNA", at positions 28 to 507 of the family's 1533-position model. The record is from RNAcentral.
GAUGAACGCGGGCGGCGUGCCUAAUACAUGCAAGUCGAGCGAACAGAUGAGGAGCUUGCUCCUCUGACGUUAGCGGCGGACGGGUGAGUAACACGUGGAUAACCUACCUAUAAGACUGGGAUAACUUCGGGAAACCGGAGCUAAUACCGGAUAAUAUAUUGAACCGCAUGGUUCAAUAGUGAAAGACGGUUUUGCUGUCACUUAUAGAUGGAUCCGCGCCGCAUUAGCUAGUUGGUAAGGUAACGGCUUACCAAGGCGACGAUGCGUAGCCGACCUGAGAGGGUGAUCGGCCACACUGGAACUGAGACACGGUCCAGACUCCUACGGGAGGCAGCAGUAGGGAAUCUUCCGCAAUGGGCGAAAGCCUGACGGAGCAACGCCGCGUGAGUGAUGAAGGUCUUCGGAUCGUAAAACUCUGUUAUUAGGGAAGAACAAAUGUGUAAGUAACUAUGCACGUCUUGACGGUACCUAAUCAGAAAGCCACGGCUAACUACGUG